AAGAUUGUUCCUCAUGAAACUCAUUUCUAGAAGGGGGGAUAAUGUCUUAAAUAUAUAUAGCUAUUGUAGUAAUUACCUAUAUGAUUAAGUAGAAGUAUGUAAAAGUAAAUAAAAAUAGAUUAAUUUCAUAAUAUCUUUUAGAAAAGCUUCUUAGAAGCUUCAUAGGCGAUGUUUUGACUUUAUAUAUAUAUAUAUAUUUGUAGUGGAUUGAUAGGUUAAAAACUUAAUCAACAAGUUAAAUAUCUAUAUAAUAUAUAGAAAUAAAAAUGAAAUCAAUAUAGAUUUCUAAUGUAUUAUACAAAAAUAUUAAUUAAAAUUUGAUCUAUGAUUUAAUUUUUUUAAUUCUAAUUUUUAAAUAUAUGUAUUAUACUAUUUUAUUAUACUAUCUAAGAAUAAUAUUUUUAUAUAGUGGGUAUUUUUAAAAACGAAUUUACGAGAUGCAUAUAUUUUUAAAGGAUAUAAAAUUAAAAUUCAAUCAUAUCAAUAUAUUCAAAAGGAAUCAUGUUUUUAAUGUAUUUUGCAGCAAUUUAUCAUUACUUUUAAAGUCUUUUGCUUUGAAUGGUCUUUUGCAUGAACAAUAGUUGUAUAGAAAUGGGAUCCCAACAAGUGUUGCAUGCAUGGGCAUUGCAGCAACAGUGUCUUGACAUUGUUGUACGAAGGAAAUCCACCUUGUUGCAUGCAAAUUAUGGUGUGGCAACAGAAAGUUGAUCUUGUGUUGUUAUUUAAUGAAAGAUGUGAUUUUCCUUGUGGAGUAACUUUAGAGUGGUCAUCUCAAGUGCACGCGCUCAAAGAUAAAGAUCAUUUGAACAACCAUUGUUGUUUCAUAGACCUUGACGUUACUUACCAAUUCCAUCUUCAACUUUGUAUCUCAUAUGAUCUUUUUGCCUUUCUAUAUUAUAUAAGUCUCACUUUUUUAAUCAAUCACAUUCUUAUGGUCAUUUGAAAUAUGAAUGUAAGUGUUUUCAUUUGUUCUUUGUUUUUCUUUGUUUUUGAAACCAAUUGAAAGGCAAUCCACAAAUCAACAACACUCACAAUCAAGCUUUUUAGCUAGAGCUUCAAAUCUGCUUGGAUAACAAAUACAAACCUUGUUUCAAGAGAGAGAAAAAAAAAAAAUACCCCAUUUAAAUUUACUAUUAAAAUGGAGUAUCAAAUUAACCGCUAAUUGAACAUGUGACUGACUCAUUUUUCAUGAUGACUUUUUCAGUUCAGUUCUUACAAAUCAAAAUAAAUAAAUCAUUUCAGCUGUUAUUUUGAAAUGUAUUUUUACAAAAAUGUUAAGUGUUUGGUGAAUGAUUUAAAUGAUGUUGAUUCAAAUAAAAACAAGUUGAAUUUGUUGAAAAUAAUUACCUUUUGCUGUUCUAUUGUACCAUCAGGAAUUCGAAACAGUUCACUGCUGACUUAUUCAUCAGUGGAUCAAGAAUUCAUCUCGCCAGUUAUUUAGACAUUGUCAAAAAUACUUUAAUUAAAGUUAAUAAAAAUUGAAUGAUAUUAAAGUUUCAUGGAAAUUUAUACUUUAUCACUAUUAUGUAACAUUACUUACAACUUUGAUGAAAGAUUUCAAACAAAUAUUGAUUAGUGCUGGCAAAAUUUCUUAGUCAUUUUUCUUUUUGUUCAUUAUUAUCAUAAUAAGAGUAUGUUUUCCCUAUUUAUCAUUGAACAUGAACAAACUUGUUUACAAUACAAACUUUUUUACAAAUUCUUCAAAAGUAUAAUAUUCAGUGCGGCACUUCAUUUCUUUAAUUUUGUGUAAACUUGGCUACACAAUCUACGAUUGCAGGCAGUAUUCAUGAUAUUAUUUAGAGUUGCAUUCUGUAUUCUAUGCUAAUGAUCCACCAAUAGAUUAAAUAAUAACAUUUUCCAACAAGUGAUGUGAGUGGAACAAACUAAAUUAAAAUUAAAAAUUUCUCCAUUUCUUUUUUAUCGUGACAGAAUAAAAUGGUCUAAGAUCAACUUUACUUGUGAUUCCGAUGAUUGAUUUCACAUUAUGAAAUGGUCACGUGGAAUGAUACACUUCACAAUUAUCUUAAUUCAGUGUUAGGAUGCCACUAUGAUGUUCAGACAGCUAACGAACCCAGCCAUAUUGCAACUUUUGUACCCAGCUAUAACGUAGCCCUCUCACAUUGCGACAUUGGUGCCCAGUCGACCUCACCGAGUUCAAUCUCAGCAAAUUGUGAAAGGAUGCUACUCACCAGAUAAUCGUCAGGUGUAAUAACCGGAGCAGGACACCAUGUCCAAGUUAACUUACAAUAUCAAGGGACUGAAAUGAACGCCCUUUCAACUAAGGCACAAUUGAUGAAACACAUUGAUGAUCGAGCCAUCUGCUGCACAAUUGAAUCCUAAAAAAACGGUUUCACCUGGUUAAACACAUGUUAAAAUAACUGCUCGCGUUCAUCGAAAUUGAUAAGGGCUCCUCCACCAUAAGUACACUCAAUAUUAAAUCUACUCUACAAACACUCGUGGCAAAUAAGAAGCAGACAGUUGAACGACCACAUCCAACUAAAACACAGCCUGACCAGCACCCUCCCCCAAUCCAACCCGUUAACCUCACUCUUCGUCCUCAGUCAUCUCUCUAACAACAUCUUCCGUGAUAACAUUACAAUGUUCGAUCCCAAAAAUGACCAGACAGCAGUACGACGCCAUCUGAUGAAGUGAAGGAUCGCCUUCUUGUCGGGACAUAUGUUCAGCCCCGCAGCGAUUGACCCAGCUGAGAGGACAACCUAAAGCCCCGUUUCACAACCCCAUGCAUCCACUGCAAAUGCACAAUCAUGCACCCAAACGCGACAAAACAUACCAUCCUAUCACUACACACGACGAACCGCAGAUUCAGAAGCUACUCAAAUAUCGGUAAUCAGGAGCUUGCUUCAUUCUGUUGCAGUAUUGAUGUAUUCCUCUGAAUCUCGCACAGCACCUGCACCCUGCUCAAUUCCACUGCCCUAAACAGACAAUGUACACGAUCAAUCGGGGGGACCAUACAGCACCAGACUGUGCACCUACCGGCAAACCUAAAGGAUGCCGCAACCACAUCACAAGUUAACCCCAAAUCGACAUUGCCACCGAUUUUCUCAAUCUUCACUCGAUCCCACACGCACAAACCCCACUCCCAGGAACGACAGUGCAGAAGAGGAGAACUAAUUCAACAGGGGCGAUAAGCAAUGGCGACGAAGCAGCAAUGGAGGGAGAUAUUGUAGUGGAGCCUCCAAACCCUAAUAUCUCCCUUGGCUGCUGAAAACAGCUAUCUCCAGCCUGGAUGGAUGGAUGAAUAUAAUAUGCAUGGAUGAACAUAAUGGUGUGUGUGUGUGGAAGUGAGGAUGGAUGGAGUGGGAAUGACUUCAUGGAUGCAUGAAACUUCGGAAGCGUCCCUGUUCACAUUUUGGCAAGGGAGUUAUUAGGGCUGGCGUUUCCCCACUUUCAACUGAAACUCUACAAUUGUGCUUUAAAGUGAAAAUUUUAAUAUAAUCAAAAUAAAUAAAUACAUAUAUUAUAUAGUAAUUUUAGCAUUUGAACAAAUAAUACACAACGUUGUUCUUUUUGAUUUUCUAAAAAUAGAAACCCAACUUUUUGAAUAAGUAUCUUGGCAAAAUUAAAAUCAAAUGCAAAAACAAAAGAAACAAAGAAGCUGAAAACUAGUUCUUUAGUGGAUAAAAUAAAGAUAAUACCAAUGUAUAACAAGGUGUUGUAAUAACAUUAUGGAUAGAGUGCAUUUAUAUUUAUAUUUAUAUUAUAUGAUAUAAAUCUUUAACUGGAAUUUAGGUCUUACACUACUUGGUGUCUUAUCACAAAGUAAAUACCUUUUCUAAUUCUGUCCUAUCUUCAGUCAGCUAUAUUUUCAUCUAUUGUAAAUAAUAAAUGUUGAGAAGAUGUCAUUUUGAAAUUUAUCUUACUAAGAAUUGUUUUUGACAGAUUUGUUUUCAAAAUCAAUAGAUUUUUUUUAUAUGAUUAUGAACUUGACUGCUAAAUUUAACUUUUAAAAGUUCAGCUCUACUUUUAAACAUACACAUUAUGAAAAUAAAUUAAUAAAUAACACAACCAUCAGUAAGAACUACAAAUAAUAAAAGCAUUUGAAACAAACAUUAUCUUACAAUGAUCAAUAAAAAUAUUUAUUAAAAAAUGGAUGAUAAUAACAACAAUAAUACUAUUAUUUUUUAUUUUAUAAUAUUUCUUAGCAAAAAAAAUUCAAUUAGAAAAUUGAACAUUAACCUGAUUGAAAAUUAAGUAGUACCAUCAGAAAAUUGACACAUAAAUCAAUGUAUAAAACAUUAUAAAUAAUCAUAAAUAUAGCUUUACAUAAAACCAUACAAGAUUUAUUGCAAUUAAAUUGAUAUAAUCUUUUACAAAAACUAAUUAUCUAAAGUUUAUAACCAAUUUUUAGAAUAUAUUUAUAUCAAGUAGUAUGCAAAGAUUAUUUUUUAGUUUUAUAUGACGUAAUAUAAAAAAAUAUUGCAGAUAGAUCCUAAAAUAAGCAUAGGAGUGGUAAUACAAGUUAUAUAUAAUUAUAUAUUAGAAUAAGCAACUUGCUGAUUUAAAGAAGUGGCUAUAAGUAAUAUAUUAAACAAUAUGAUUAUUACUAACAUUAUUAAACAUACUUUUUUUUCUUCAGAAAGAUCUGAUAUAAUAUUUUGUUAAAUUCAACAACAAAUAAUCAAGCAGGAUUAGAUGUCAUGCUUAAGUUUUCUUAAAAAUUCUAAUUAAUAUACUCUCAUAUUUGGUAGUUAACUAUCAUAAUUGAUUCUAAAAGAAGAAAUAUACAAGGGUUAUACAUAAAUUAUAAAAAUAAAAUAUAAUAAAAAAUCUAAGUUUAAGUUGUGGUUUUUGAAUUAUUACUUAAUAAAAAUAUAUAAUAGAAAAAAAAAGAGAAAAGAAAAAGAAAAAGAUAUAUAUAUAUAUAUAUAUAUAUAUACACUUUGUAAUGUUUUAUUUUUAAAAAAAUCCAAUAUAGAUAUGAAGUCUUUUACUAAUUUAAGUAUUUAAGGCCUUCUCUAUAAUAAAGUUCUAUUUACAGCAUGCAUUUCUUAAUUACUUUAUUAACAUUUUUUAUUUAAAACAUAUUUGAGAAAGAUUCUAUACAUUAAUUUUUACAUCACACAAGAUUAUGAAUUUUUUCUUAUAUCUUAUAUUAUACAUAAUAGUAGCUAUUUUAUCCUUUACAUUCCAUACUCUCAAUUUUAAUACAAGACAUGAAAACCACACUUAUAUAUCGGAACAAAGAAUACAAAAUAAAAAUCAUUCCCUUUAUUUCUUGCUCUUUUAUUUACUUAAUUUAUCAUAUUCUUCUAAAUCUUUUGAUUCUCUUUCAUCAAAUAUUUUUACAAUCUACUAGUUUUUCUUGACUUGUAAGUACAUUAAUUUUUGCAUCCUUUUGACUUCCAUGAUUAAUUGAUAUUUUUGUGCAAAUACAAAUUUUCAUUACUACUUUCUAUCUAAUCUAUGUCUAGUCUAUGUUAAAGUCUAUUUCUUUACUUUAGAUUUUCAUUCCAACUAUCUAAAAAAAUAUUAUAUAUAAAUAUUAAUUACAUAAUUUUAUAUAUGACAUAUACUUUUUUAGAACUUUAUAUGUUUAGGAAUAAUACAUGUUUUAAGGAUUUUACAAAUAAUAAUUCUUACAAUCAAUUUCUAAGAAUAAAAGAUUAAAGUAAAAAAUUUAUUAUUGAUACUUGUUUUUAAAAAGAAGAUUAAAUUGAUCUACCUAAAUCUAAACUCAAUCAACCUAACUUCCAUGAUUCAAUUUUUGUGACUACUACUUGUAUUACAAAACAUGAAAACUUAUAAACUCAAUGGACGACAACAAAGAUAAAUCCUAGAUUCUAUUUGAAAGAGAAUGGACUUGACUUUUUUUUGAAAUGCCUUAUGCUAAUUUUCAUUUUGAAACACACUUAGAUAUCUAAUUCUAAUAUAUACAUAUUGUGAAGGCAGAACUUUACCUAAUACCAUCUACUUCUUCCACCUAUUGUUAAAGAUAUAAAUUAUAUAUAACCAAAAUGUAUCAUGGACAUACACAUAUAAACCAAUAAUUACCUAAGUGAUAAGAUAAAAGUAGGUAAAAUUAAUUUAAUUCCAUAAUAUCUUUUAUAGAAGCUUCUUAGAAGCUUUAUAGACAUUGCUUUCGCUUUGUAGGUGUCUAUAAUUGAUUUUUUAGAUUAAAAAAGUAGUCAACAAGUUGGCCAUGUACCACUCAUGUAGGUAGCUUGAAGAACAAGCUAACUAUGUGAUCCACAUGUAAAAAACUUACUUUGUAAGCUAAAGCAUGUAUCUUGCAAAGUCAAUACAUAUUAGAGGUCUUAUAGAAUAUUGUCACAUAGCUCUUAGUUAGAUAGUAUAUAUAGAGGCAAGAAUGGAGCCCUCUUCACUCUUGUCAACUUCUUUCUUGCUUCUAAUCUAGAUUCAAGAGUCUCUACUCUCCUUGUCUUUUGAUAAUAGCCAUUCUAGUUUCUUUUUAAUAUACAUACUUCUGUAUUUUUAUUUUGUUACUUUUCUUUUAACAUAAAUUUUAUAAGUUUAUGCAUCUUCUUCUAGUUCAUGUAUUUGACAAAUUGAUAAGAAUAUACUUAUAAUAUGAAAACUUUGUCCUCUCUUGAUUAAGAGGGAUUUUUUUUUUUUUUUUUUCUUGAUAAAAUGUAAGCAUAUUAAAAGUUGUGGAUUAUCAUCUCCUAAACUAAUAUUGUUUAUAGUAUCUUCUUUGUUCUGAAGUCCCCUCUUCCACUUGACUUGAACAAUAUUAGAUAUUUAUUUUUUAAGUAUUAUCAUAGUAGAGCUUGUUUAAUUGAAGAGUGAAAUGGCACUAAUGUAAGAACAAUUGAAAGAAUUAAUGCUUGCAAUGCAUCAACUCAAUUUACCAAGACAAGGAGCAACAAGAAGAACAUGAAGUGAAGUUAUAGAUAUGAUUAGAGCUGCUUCAACAUCUGCCUUCAAUCAUAUUCUUUUUCUUAUCAUAAAACAUCCUUUCGAUACUAGAAAACCAAUUGUUGCCCUGCUUGAGAAGUUUGAUAGUAUAAGAUCUAAGUUUCAAAGAUUUAUCAAUCAAGUACAACUUAUGAUUGAACUUAAAUUCCAAAGUUAUCCAACUCAAGGAUUACAAGUUAAAUUCAUUGAUAUAUUUCUUUUAAAUUCAGAAUUAAUAUAGUUUUCAUCUUUUUUUGAAUGAUGACAUUCAAUAUUUAAUAAUUUGGAGAUUUUUUGAUAGAAUUUUGAUCUAUAUAUGGAAAAAAUGAUGUAACUUGUGUUGUAAUCAGCAAGAUCCAUAUUUAACAAGAAAAAAAUUGAUCUGUAAUAUUAUAUACUUUACAAUUUUAAUAACUUGCAAUUGGUAUCAAGUGGGAUGAUACUACACUUAUUAGCCAAUUUCUCUAUAGAUUAUAAUAUGAGGUAAAGAAACUGAUGUUCAACUUACUUGAUCCUCAAACAUUGCAUCAAGCAAUUGACUUUGUUGUGAAGUAUGACAAUUGACUUUUCAAAUUUUAUGUAAGAGUUGGACAAGUAGGCCUCAAUAUUACUAUAACUCAAUGGAAACACCAACGCUUCUUCAACACAUACAUUCAAAAGUAGAAGAUAUGCAAAUUGAUGUGGUAUGUUUCAAACUUCUUACUGAGCAAGAAAAGACUCAUCGCUGUCAAAAAGGAUUGUACUUAUAUUAUGGAGAACCUAAACACACUACUCAACAUUGUCCAAAGAAGCGAUACAAUUAUAAAAUGAUGAGUACAAAUAUCAAAAAAGAUAAUAUAUCAAAAAACAAGUUUUUCCAACUACAAUAGAGACUGUGCAACUAAAACCUUAUAUAAUAUCUGAUGAAGGUCCUAUUCUCUCUUUAAAAACCUCUCUUUUUUUAUAUUAAAUAUUAUUUUAGGACCUAUAUAUUACAAAGCCUAUGUCUUGUUAAAUUCAAGAACCUCAACAUAUUUCUUAGAUAAAGAAUUUGCUAAAAGACUUAACAUAUCUUUAAUAAAGAAAACUAAUCAUAUUCUUGUAGAAGUCAUAGAUGGUUGUAUAUUAUCUUCUGGAGAUAUUACUCACAAAAUCCUUCCUAUAAAAGUAAUAAUCAAUAGUUAUAAUAACUUUGUGGUAUUUAAUAUUAUUAGAUCUUAUUCUAAUCCAAUUAUUUCAGGUUUAUUGUGGUUAAAAAAAUACAAUCCUUGAAUAGAUUAGAUUUCUUGUAUUCAUAAUUUUUCUAAAAAUAUAACUAAGAGUAUAAUUAAUCAAGUAAAAAAUCAUGCAUAUAGUAGAAUUAAACGUAUAUUUAUAGGUACAAAAGCUUUUUUGUAUGUUGCAAAAAAAAAGAUCACCUUGUGUCAUUUAUAUCAAAUCUGUUUCUACAGGUGCAAAGACUUUAAGUCGCAUUCUAAGCCAAUAUCAAGAUUUUUAAGAUGUAUUUGAAAAAAAAAAUGUAGAUACUUUUCUAAAACUUGUCCUUAUAUCUGUUCAAUUAACCUUCAAGAAAGAACACAACUACCAUUUAGACCAAUGUAUAAUUUCUUGCAUAAUGAGUUGGCUGAACUCAAAGAGUACAUUGAAGAGAAUCUAUCCAAGAACUUCAUAUGUCAUUCUAAAUCUCCAGUAGGAGCUUCAAUUUUAUUUAUGAAGAAAAAAGAUAAAUCAUUGCAGAUAAGUAUUGAUUAUUGAAGACUCAAUAAGAUCACCAUCAAGAAUAUAUAUUCAUAUUUUUUAAUAUCUAGACUAUUUGAUCAGUUGAAUCAAGUUAAAAUCUAUGCAAAAAUAGAUCUAUAGGGAGUAUACAAUCUAGUAUGCAUCGAAGAAGGAGAUAAAUUGAAGGCUGUAUUUUGAACCAGGUACAGCCUUUUUGAAUAUAAUAUCAUGCCUUUUAGACUUAUAAAUAUACCAACUGCUUUUCAACAUCUUAUGAAUGAUAUUUUUUGAAAGUUUUAGAUAAUUUUGUUGUCUAUUAUCUUAAUGACAUCUUAAUCUAUUCUAAAAAAAUAAAAGAACAUGAAUUUUAUAUUUGUCAUGUAUUACAAAAAUUAAGAGAUGCACGACUCUAUACCAAGAUAGAAAAGUGUGUAUUCUACACUACUCAAGUUGACUUCUUGGAUUACAUCAUUUCAAACAAUGGACUUAUUAUGGAUCCUAAAAAUAUUCAAACUAUUAUAGAUUUAAAGAUCUCAAAUAUGGUCUAAGAUGUCGAAUUUUUUUUCGGAUUUGCCAACUACUAUCAGAUCUUCAUUAAGGACUUCUCUCAAAUUACAGCUCCAUUGAUAUGUUUGACUUAUAAAGACAAACUUCAAUAGAAUCAAGAAACGAAAGUAGCAUUUGAAGCUUUAAAAAUAGCCUUUGUUUUUAUACUAGUCUUAUAUUGUGUUGACUUUUUUAAGACACUCUUUAUAAAAACAAAUACAUCAAACUUUGCUUUAAGUGUUAUAUUAUGACAAAUGGAAAUAGAUGAUAAAUUUAAUCCAGUAGCUUUUCAUUCUAAGAAAUUUUCAGCAAUUGAGAUUAAUUAUGAGAUCCAUGAUAAAGAACUUCUUGCAAUUAUGGAUUCUUUUCAAGAAUGACAUCAUUAUUUAGAAGGCACUUCUACUCCUAUCACCUUCUAUAUAGAUCAUAAAAACGUCAAGUAUUUCAUAUCAAUUCAUAUUUUAAAUUACUGACAAGCUUGUUGGAGCAUGUCUUUGUCAAGAUUUGAAUUCAAUAUCACUUAUCGGCUAAGAAAACAACAAGAUUUAUUCAAUGUCCUUUCUAAACAUUCUUAUCUUGCACCUAAAGAAAGAGAUGCAGCUUUUGAUCAAUAAAGCAUAAUUUUAUUGAAGCCAAAAUAAUUUCAUCUUCAAAUAGUGAAAUCAAUAUUGAUUGUUGAUUCAACUUUCUCAAACAAAUUCAAUCUAAUAUGUCCUUUAAUCUUCUUUUUUAUGAUAUUAAAAGUACUUCUUUUAAGUCUUGUGAUACUUUUAAGUUCAAGUUCAAGAAUAAUCUACUUUAUUUUGUAGGAUACCUAUAUGUGCCAGAAAGAAAAGCACAUUUACAUAUUCUUCAAGUACGUCACAACUUUCCAACAUCAUGAUAUUUUGGAUACAAUAAGAUUUUGGAGCUAAUAUCUAGAGAUUUUUGGUGGCUGCAAAUAUGAAAGGUUGUAAAAGACUUUGUUCAAUCAUAGGACAUUUUUUCAAGGCCAAAAACUCCUGAGCAUCAACCUUAUGGACUUCUUUAGUCAUUACUUAUUUCAAAACAACUAUGGUCUUUUAUUUCUAUGGAUUUCAUUACAAAUCUUUCAAUCUUAAGAUCGUGUGAUUUUAUAUUUGUCAUAGUAGAUCAUUUUAUCAAAAUGGCAUAAUUUGUACUAUACACAAUUUCUAUCAUAGGUGAUGAAACUACCAAGCCUAUCCUCGAUAAUACCUAUGAAUAUUAGAGAUUUUCAAAAGAUAUUAUAUUGGAUAAAGCAUCUCAAUUUAUUUUAAGUUUUUAGAAAAUUCUUUUUAAGAUUCUAAAGAUAGACAUAAAGCUUUUUUUGGCCUUUUAUCUUCAAAUUGAUGGAUAGACAAAGCAUUGUCAUGAUGUAAAUACAUUCAUAUAUAGAAACCUUGCUUGACUUACUUUUCUUUGAACUUUUAUUAAGUUCUUUUUUCUUCUUACGAAUCUAAUUUUUCUAUAGUUUUGGAGAAAUUUUAUCACUUUUUUCUUGAAAGUGAUAAAAAAUUUAGCCAAAAUUUUAUUUUUUCUUUAACCUUAACUUUAUCUUUGGUUUAGCCUAGAAAACUUCUUUUAUUCCUUUUACUUUCUUUCUAAUCUUUGAUUUUAGUAGAUUUAGAGUUAUAUUUAUAGAUGUAAGAAGAAUUUUGACUUUGAGGUUGUAUGUAGGUUUUUAUUAAAGAUAAAUGGAAGUUUGGAUAAUACUAAUUGGUUGCCAUUAAUAGUAUUGACUUGGAAGAUUAGAUUUGGUAUUUGUUUAACUUUAAAGUAUUAGUUUUUGACUUAGACUUUGAAGACCUUAGCUACGAUUUCUUAAGCGAGCUCAAAAGUAAGGAAGAAGGAUUGUUUUGCAAGUUAAAAAAGAGUGUUCAAAGAAAGGAACUUCUUUGCAUGAAUUUAGAUGAAAAAUGCAUGAAUUGGAGCUUGAAUGAGAGAAUUAUGCUUGUUUAAACUUAAUCUACUAAUUUAAUAUAUAUUGUCACUUUUUCAUGCAUAUUAGGCAUUUUAAGAUAUUAAUAAGAAAUUAGAGAAUUGGAUUAGAAAUUACACUUUAAGCUAAAAAUUUCACAUCCAAAGAUUGAUAGAAUUGAAUCUAGAAUGAGUCAGAUAUGGUUGGUUAAAACUAACAAAUUAAAACUAGAAUUUUGAAGAAAUUAGAGAAAUAGAGGGUUUUGAUUUUAAGCUAGAACUUCAGCUUCAAGAUAAAUUUGAAGCUUAUUUUUUGUGUACAUAUUACUUAUGAUAUAAAAAGCUUAUGUUUAAAAUAUCAUGGCAAUUGAAACUCUGACUUGAGAGAAAUGGUGAAAUUUGUUCUUAGGUAUUUAGAAUUUUGACUUUCAAAGAUACCUACUACGAUUUUGGUAAUAUUAGAUGAUUGGUAACAAAUUUGUAGCUAAAAAUUUGUAUAAUGAUAUUCAAAGAUGUAAGUUUUGUAUUUCCAAAUUUUGAACUUAUUUAAAUAGCUGGAUCUAUGGAUAUGAAUUUUCAAGUUUCUAGUUUGGUUUUAACUUUGAAAAGUACCUUCUAUGGUUUUGGUGAUAUCAGACAAUUGAUAACAAAUUAUAGCUAAGAAUUUGUGUGAUAAUGAUCAAAGGUGUAAAUUCUAUACUCCUAAUAUUUAAGCUUAUUUGAAUAGCUAGAUCUUGUAUUAUAAAUUUUCAAGCUUCAAGUUUGUUGGUUUAUUACAAACAUAGUUUUGUAAAUACUCAAAUGAGAAUUUAAGAAGGUUUUGUAUAUAUUGGAUCUAUCUUGAAUGCAAAGAGGGACCUUACAUCUAUUCAAAGUAGACUCUUACUAUAACAGAGUGUAAAUCAAGUUUUAGAACAAUAAUUAAGGUAUACCAUCAAUUAUCAAUAAGAUAAUUGGAGAACCCUCUUGCCAUUAAUAAAAUUUACUUUUAAUAACAUGAUACAUUCUUCUAUGCAACAAACACCUUUUUUUUCCAAUUAUGGUUAUCAUCCAUGAUUUGAUACUUUUGACUUUUCAAAAGUUGAUAAUCUUGUGGCAAAAGGUUUGACAAAUUGUUUGUCAAAGCUACAUGCAACAAUGAAGGUGCAAUUAAAAGAAGCUCAAGAAUGGCAAAAGAUCAAUACGAAUGCCUAUGAAAAGAAAUAACUAUAAUUCAAUGUAGGUGACAAGGUAUAGUUGUUUUGUUGUAAUAUCAAGACUACUCGUUCUUGUGAUAAGUUGGACUACUAUAGGUUUAGACCUUUUUCUAUUUGUAGAUAAAUCAAUCCAGUUGUUUAUUGAUUAUAUCUACCAGAGGCAAUGAAGAUUCAUUAUAUCUUUCAUAUAUCUCUUCUUGAACCAUACAAGACAGUGAACAUGUCAAUAAGAAAAUAAGCUUCACCUCCUUCCAUAGAAGUGGACAAUAAUGAAGAGUUCAAAGUAGAAGAAGUUCUAGACUCAAAGUGGCAUCAAAAUAAAUUAGAAUAUCUUGUUCAUUGACAUGAAUAUGAUAAUAGUAAAUGCACAUAAGAGCUAGUAAAAAAUCUUACAAAUACAGCAAAGGCGAUGGAGGCUUUUCAUCGACAACAUCCAUCAAAACCAAGAUGAAGAAUAGUAAGUCUUUGAUAUAAUAAAAACAAGGUCUAAAAAAGAUUGCAUUCUACUUUUUACCUUUAUUUGUGGUUUUUGUAUAUUUUUGAUAUUAAAAAAAUGAAGAACUAUAGAAUAGGUAAAUAAACUUUGUAGUAAGUUAUUGGUUGGUUAUUGACAAUCUUGAAAAUUAGAUUGAUGGUUAGGCAGUUUAGUUGGUUAGAGUAGGUUGUUAGUAGAAUAAAUGGUUAAGAAUUCAAAGGAUCAUAACCUUUGACAUCCGCUGGCCGACAGGUCAUCUUUUUGGUAGGAUAAAUAGGUUGAAGAAAGUAAGCCGAGGGCCAGACUGUGAGAGUCGUAAGCCGGGGUAAGCUUGGUGCUCCUUCUUUGUUUUCUUUAUUAUUUGCUAAUGAAGAAUUGUGAUUGAGAGAAAUAUUGUUGAAUUGAUAAUCGUAGAAUGGAUUAUGGAUUGAAUUAAGAUAGAAGUAGUAAGCCUCGAUGUUUUGUAGUUUGAUAAUUGAUUUCAGAUAGCAAGAGUACAAUCAAUUGUGAUACUAACAGACCCAAUUUAUAUAACCAAUCUUUCCCCGUGUUCGAACCCACCUCUAUUAAUUCAAUUGCUUUGGUCUAUUGAAGCUUGAACUCAACGAGAACAACAUUUUGGCACCGCUGCUUGAAAAAUGAAAACAAUAUGAAAUAUUAGAAAUUGAUUGUAUGGAAGAUGGAAUUAUAUGUUGAAUGAGAACGUGAGAAGAACCAGUUUUAGGGUUAUAAAUAUGUGAGUUAUAAUUCAAGGCAGUAUUAAUUUUAUAAAGAAGAAUGAAAUAUUAUGAGUAAUAAUCAUGGAAGAGAGGAUUAUCAAAGAAUAUAUCGACAAAUAAAAGAAAGACAAGAGCGAUUACACAUAAGAAAUCUCCUACAAAAAUGACAAAAAAGAAUUGCAUGUCCAAGAAAAACCAAAGGAAGAAAAAUUUAGAUUCAAAUAGUAAAGAGACCAGUAAUAACACCAAUGGUCAGGGGAGUGCCAGAAGUACCAAUUGCAGUACAAAUGGGAGCAGUAGGAGACCAAACUACAAUUAUGGCACCAUUACCUACAUUUAGUGGUUGACCGAGCUCUGAUCUCGAUCACCAUAUAUCUCAAUUCUCGACAUCUUGCGUGGCUAAUAAUGGUAGAACUGAAAACAUUUGAUUGAGAUGGUUGCCAACAACUUUAAAAGAUACAGCUUUUGAAUGGUAUAUUCGGCAACCAGUGGGUAGAUUUUCUAAUUGCAAGGCCUUGAGGAAUACCUUCCUAAUCUAUUUUAGACCAAUUGAAUUUGAAGAUUGGCUUUGAGAAAGUUUUAUGAAUAGCAGGAUGUUUAUGGGGAAACCCGUAGAGUCUUAUUAUGGCUAAAUCAUGGAUAUACUUCAUAAAUGGUCAAAUAAUCAAAUGCUAGAUGUGUUUAUAUUAUCGAUAUUAAUUAAUAAUUUGUAUCCACCAAAAUUAAAAAUGUUUGUAAAAGAGGCUCAACUAGCUAUGGUAGAGGCAUCAUUGGCACGAGCAAAAGUAUAGAAAGAAUGUCAUUAUGACUAAUUGUUAACAGUGGGCGCCACGAUGAUUCUAAGUUCUGAAAGUCAACAAAUACAACCGGAAAAUGUGUCAAUGGGUAAUUAUCUACAAAUGGCUGUCUUCAAUGUGAAGAAUGUUAUGUUGUAACAACCAAUUAAUGCUACACCACUCCAAGCAAUAGCGCCAAUAAUGAUGACACCUUAUUUUACAUCGCCAACCUAUCAACAAUCAGAGUUGUUUACAAAUGCGACUAUUAAAGAUCCAAAUGAAGCCUUGUUAUUAAAUCUAACAAAGAAGAUGGAAGAAUUGGCCGUGAAUUUGGCUAAAGACAAGGAAAAAUAACAUAAGCCUUCUAAUACGAGACCUAAUGUAUGAUGUAAUAAUUGUAAUGAACAAGGUCAUUUUGAUACGGAAUGUCCAUCACCUAGACAAACGUGUGUUGAAUGUACAUUUUAUGGAAGAAAGCAUCCUAUCCAAAACUAUUGGCAUUUACAAAGGCAACAACAAUUCAGUAAUCAGACCAUGAUCCCAUCGACUCAGUGAGAAGUCAAUCAAGUUCAAAUAAAAAAUACGUAUGGAUGGAAUAGAAAUCGAUCUAAUCAACAAAAUCGAACAUUCAAUAAUUUUUAAAGUUCCAAUUUUAAUCAAGGGUCUGCAUCAAACCUUCAAAACUACGGAAAAGAGCAACAAAGGUAUCAGCAAUAUGCUCCACUGGUGUCAUCGAAUCAAGUAUCCUCUGUACAAACGAAACAAUUAAGAUCAUUUUUUAAUCCUACAUGGAAUAAGCCUAGUAAGUAUAUACCAGUGGAGACACCUAAUAUGCCAGAUGGGGGUGCAAGAAGACCACUUCGUUGUUUCCAUUGCAGACAGAUUGGCCAUUAUGCUAGUGAAUGUCUCAAUCCAAGAACCAGUGACAAUUAUGCGCCAAUAUGUGCAAAUUACAAGCAGUCAGGACAUACUUAUCAGCAAUGUAAUCCUUCAUUCAAUUUUAAUAAUCGAGAUCAGCACAUCCAAAGUCAAGGAAAAAUGGAGGAGAUAAAUCAAGGUCCUCAAGAUUCACCAGUUCAUGGUGUAGAAGUAGUCCAAGCUAUCCAUACAAGAAGUCAGCAAAUAGAGAAAGGACCAAUUUAACAUUUGGGUGAUCCUAAAGCAAAGGGCCAAUUGGACCCAAUUACGGGGCCAUCCAAUCUAAGUCCUGACAUAGGCCCUUUAUUCAAUAUAAGACCUGAAUUGGUUGUGCAUCCUAAUGAAGUACCGAUUAUAGAGGCUUUGGUUCCAUUUCAAGCUGUUCUAUUCUCUACAUAAUUUCGAAAAACAUCCUUUCCAUUGAAAGAUCCUCUAAGAGGCAUGAAUUCCAAGGAAUCAAUAUUAGCCCAAUUAGGAGAACAAUCUUACCCGUUGAAAGAAACAAUUUUAUAAGCUCCGUCAAAUUUAGUUCCAGUAGCUUUAUCAAUUUCUAAUAUAGAAAAAAUCAAUUUACUUGCAUUGGUAUCUAGGACUGAGAAGAAGUAAUGGACAUUGGAAAUUACCACUAUUAUAGAACCAUAUGAUAUUCUAAAAGAUUUGGACACUAUACAACCCACAAUCUCUAUGAAGCAACUAUUGGCGGUAGCACCUAAGUGCCAAACUAUCUUGAAUUCUUCAUUAAUUCGUCGCAGAUCUUAAAAUAAAGAAAUCCAAAAAGUAAGUUUGAAUCUCGAUCCGGGUGCACCUACGAUUGAUGUCUCAAUUGAUGGAGUGUUAUUAUCAUGAGUGCAGGUAGACGAAGGAUCUAGUAUAAAUCUUAUGAAUGUUGCUAUAAUAGAGGAGCUAGGUUUGGAUCACUUAUUGCCUAGUACAGUGGUUUUGAGAAUGUCUGACUCUAGUCGAGUUAAACCUAUGGAUAUUUUACGAAGUGUUGAUACAAUAAUUGUAGGGAUUACCUACAAAAUUGAUUAUAUUAUUUUUUGAUUGCAAAGCUCUAUAUUAUCAUACCCAAUUUUAUUGGGGCGACCGUGGUUGUAUCAAGCUAAAGCUCAAAAUGACUGGCGCCGUAGUACAUUAAUAAUUCAAAAAGGUAAUGAUAAAAUUGUGCUUCAAAUAUACUCUGUCCAAUAUCACAAAGAAACUCAAGUUGCUAGUUUAGAAUUCAUGUCGGAUUGUAAAGAUGAGUCUAUAGAAGAAGAAAUUGGUGCACCUGUCCCAAUUUAUGCUGAUACAAGGCAAGUUCUCGAGCACACUAGAAUGAACUACCAAUGUAGGGAAUCGAGAGAGUACUUAGUUUGUCCAAAUGUUAUUGAUAAUUUUGAUCAUAUGAUUAUAUAUUGAAUGAAUAGACGGGAUGUUAAUCACGUUAGUGCUAUGGAACUGAAGUUAAAAAGUUCUAAUGUGUCGGAUUUUAUGAAAGAUUCUGGAAUUGAGCAGAACAUCAAUCUAGAGACACUUGAAAUUCCACGAUGUCAACCAAUUAAUUUAGGUACAGGAGAGACUUUCCAAAUCAUUCAGAUUUACAACGAUAUAAAAGACAAGAAAAAAGAAAUUUGUGUGGAUUACUUUUUAAUGCAUAAAAUUAUUUUUGCAUGUUUGUACAUGGAUUUGAAAGGAAUUUCAGCUGAAAUUUGUGAGCAUUGAAUUAUAUUGGAGGAAAACGCUAGACUAGUAUGCCAAAGACAACAUCCUCUUAAUCCAAAAUACUCACUUAUGAUAAAAGAAGAACUGGAUAAACUCUUGGAGGUUGGAUUUAUUUAUCCAGUUCUUUUUGGUGAAUGGGUUUCAACAAUUGUUAUAGUACCAAAAAAGAAUGGAAAAGUCCAUAUUUUUCAAGAUUUCCGAAAAUGAAAUGUGGCUAUCAAAAAGGAUUAUUUUUCUUUACCAUUCACGGAUAGUAUAUUGGAUGCCGCCGUUGGACAUGAAUGUUAUUCAUUUCUUGACGGAUUCUCCGGUAUUAAUCAACUUAAGAUUGAAAAAGAAGACCAGUUAAAAACUACUUUUCUACGGAUUGGGGGACCUUUGUUUAUAAGGUUAUGUUGUUUGGGCUUUGUAAUGCUUCAGCUAUAUUUCAAAGGAUAAUGACGUAAGCAUUUCAGGAUUAUCUACGAAUUUUAAUGAUAAUAUUUCUAGAUGACUUUUGUACAUUUAAUACAAGAGCCAAGUAUUUAGAAUGUCUAGGUUAAUAUUUGAAUCAAUGUACCAAAUAUGGAAUUUCUUUAAAUUCAAAAAAAUACCAAUUUGGUGUGCCUUCUAGUAAACUAUUGGAUCAUAUAGUUUUGAUGGCAAGUAUUGCUACAAAUCUAGAUAAAAUAAAGAUUAUAAUAGAAUUAAAGCAACCAGACACUGUUACGGGUAUUCGAGCAUUUGUCGACCAUGUUAGUUAUUAUCGGUGAUUUAUCUAUCUAUUUGUAGUUAUAUGCCUUUCCUUAACAAAUCUCUUGAAGAAACCACCAACCGAUCGGACCAGUCCAUUUUGAAUAAAGGAAUGUACAAUUACAUUCGAAACAUUGAAAUAGAAAUUGGUUUCAGCACCAAUAUUGGUGGCACCUUGUUGGACAAAACCAUUCCAAGUUUAUAUGGAUGCAUCUAAUGUCGCAAUUGGUUCUGUGCUAAGCUAGAAAGAUGACCGAGGUUUUGAUCAUCCUAUUUAUUAUACAAGUCAUUAAUUGGUAAUAGCUGAAAGAAAUUAUAAAACAACCGAAAGUGAAGCAUUGAGAAUGAUUUAUUCCAUACAAAAGUUUCGACAUUAUCUUCUUGGUUAUAAAUUUGUUUUCCAUGUCGACGAUGAUACUUUAAAAUAUAUGAUUAAUAAGCCUCAAUUGAGUGGUCAUAUUACACAAUGGGUUCUACUCUUGCAAGAAUUUGACUUUACUAUUUAGGUAAGACCAAAGAAAUUACAUUCCAAUGUGGACCAUUUAUCUCGGUUAUCCAAUAUAUUGGGUAAUGAAUCCAUUAAUGAUGUACUACCCGAUGCGGAACUGUUUACAAUAGAUAUAAUUACUUCGAAGUAUAGUGAAAUAAUUCAAUACUUGACAUUUCAAACCUUCCCACCUAAUUUUAUUGAAAAGCUUAAAUGACGUUUAAUAUUAAAAUGUGCACCUUAUACAAUGAUUGGUGAAGCUUUAUAUAAACAAGGCAAGGAUAGAGUUUGGAGAUGCUGUAUUUAUCAGACUGAAGUUCGUAUUAUAUUGGAAGGUUGUCACUUGGACAGUUGUAGUCGACAUUUUGUGGGGGACAGCACAGCUCGUAAACCUUUACAGGCUGGUUAUUGGUGGCUAAUAAUAUUUGUACAUGCCCACCAAUUCAUCCGUCAUUGUAACCCAUGUCAGAGAACGGAUCAACCUAUUAGAACUUUAGCAAUGCCAUUGGUACCAAUUUUGGCUCAAGCACCUUUUGAAAAAUGGAGAAUUGAUUUUGUCAAACCAAUUGCAUCAACCUCGAGAAAUAGACAAAAAUAGUAUAUAUUGAUAGCCAUGGAUUACGUAACAAAAUAGACUGAAGUCAUAGAUACGAUAACCGAUAGUACAAAUAUAGUAGCAACCUUUUUGUAUAAAAAUAUUAUUACAUAGUUUGAUUGUCCACAAGAAUUGGUUAGUGAUCGAGGAACUUAUUUUAUAAAUAGUACAUUCGAAGCAUUUCAAAUUUACAUUCUCCAAAAGUUUGAGCCAAAAAUUUCAAAUUCAAUGGCAUGGACCAUAUUGAGUUAUUGAAGGAUUUCCAAAUGGUUCAGUACAAUUUGAAGAUUUUAUGGAUAUUAAAUUUAUGACACGGAUCAAUGGUAAUUGGCUUAAACUUUACCAUACAUAAAUCUGGUGUCGGAGUAGAGAGAGUUUGCCUCAAGAAAACACUAGGCUUCUAGCUGUCACUAAUUAUUCAAUCAAACUUGAAAAUAAAGGAAGCCCUAAGUUUAUAUAUAAUUUUUUUCUUUUGAUUAAUUACACCUAAUAUACAAUCCUCAAGUAAUCCACAACUUCCAAAAUAUGAUAAAAUCUUCUAAAACCUUGUUUAUUCUUAUGUGGAGAUUUUUCCAAACUUCAACACCUCAUAUCUCCUAAUCUGACCGUCCAAAAAAAUUCAAAUUUUACAUGACGUACUGAUGUAUUCUUAUUAACUUCUACAACAAAUUUCAACUACAAAUUCAUUGCAGAACUUGAGAUAUCGUAAAAACCCUGACAGUCGCUACAAACCCUUAUCUUUAUACAUCUACAUGCAAUUUUCUUCAUAUCUCACAAAAUAUAAGCUCAAAUGCCACGAAGUUUAUUUGUAUAGCUUUUUAACACAAAAAUUUACAUUCUCCAAAAGUUUGAGCCAAAAAUUUAUCCGAAUACUCAAGUUAUGGCUCCAACCAUUACUACAAACAAAACCGCUUACUUACUACCUUUGAUUUGGAAGCGCCGCCUUCAACUCCUUACAACUCCUUCAUAUGAACUCCAAAAGCAAUAAUUCCUUCAUGAAAGAUGUAGGCCUUGAAAUCGCCGUUCUAAUCACACUUUUCAACCUUCAAAAGCUGAUGUAAAACUCCUCGUACUCUCAAAAGAGUAACAGUAUACCUUAAAUAAACACCUUAACUUCAAAUGGCUAUAACUUUUUCACACUAACUCCAAAUCUUCUAAUUUUUGUAUAAAAAUUAUACCCCAAAUCCUAAACUUUACAACUUUAGCUUGUAAUCUCCAAAUGCCCUCGAAAGAGGAACCCUAAUCCCUAAUAAGGCCUCGGACAGCCUCCUUGAAGCCCAUUGGACAUAGUAUUCGACCAAUAGGGAUGAAGUUCUCCAUUUCUUGCCUUCAUCCAACCAUGCUUUGCUUUUAUCCCUCCCAAUUAGCCUCCUAUUAGUUUAGAUUUUCAUCCUUAGGCUUCUACCUUCUCCCAAGGCUUCAUACUAAAUAUUUAGGUCUUAUAUAUAUAUAUAUAUAUAUAUAUAUAAAAUUUAAUGUCAAAAUCAAAAGAAGUAAAGAAACAAAGUAAAGUUUCUUAUACCAACUCCUUUUAAUUUAAUCUACUAGCCAUUCUAAUACACAUUUAGAUUUAUUAACAUAUAAUAUGUUUUAGCUAAUUUUUACAUACUGUAAGUAUUUACAGUACGACACCAAGACGGGUUCUCUGUUACAAAAGAGAAAGUCGACCCAAUUGAUUGGACCAUAGUAAGAAAUAGGAGGGAGGCUCUUGACAAGCAUCGUGUUUUCUUUUGUGGUUAAGGAGAAGAUAGCAAACAUGGUAUCUAAGACAUUUGGAUGAAAAACCAUUGAACACCGAAGCAAAUGAUGAAGAUGUAAAGAGGAGAGGGUCACCAAUUCAAAGGAUGGUAAGCCAACACCAUUGACUGAAGAAGCCAAUGCUGCUACGUCUUUAUAAGUUGAGGCUAAAUAAUGUUUACGAGGACAUUGUACAAUUAAGAGUGGAGCUAUAUAGAAUAAGUAAAUAAACUUUGUAGUAAGUUAUUGGUUGGUUAUUGAUAACCUUGAGAAUUAGACUGAUGAUUAGGCAGUUUAGUUAGUAAUACUAGGUUGUUAGUGGAAUAACUGGUUAAGAAUUCAAAGGGUCAUAACCUUUAGAACCUAUUGGCCAACAGAUCAUCUUAUUGAUAGGACAAAUAGGUUGAGGAAAGUAAGCCGAGGGCCAGACUGUGAGAGUCAUAAGCCAGGGUAAGCUUGGUGCUACCUCUUUGUUUUCUUUAUUAUUUGCUUAUGAAGAAUUGUGAUUGAGAGAAAUAUUAUUGAAUUGAUAAUCGUAGAAUGGAUUAUGGAUUGAAUUAAGAUGGAAGUAGUAAGCCUUGAUGUUUUGUAGUUUGAUAAUUGAUUUCAGAUAGCCAUAGUACAGUCAAUUGUGAUACUAACAGAUCCAAUUCAUGUAACCAGUCUUUUCCCAUGUUCAAACCCACCUCUAUUAGUUCAAUUUCUUUGGUCUACUUAAGCUUGAAUGCAACGAGAACAACAAGAACCAAAAACUAGCAGAUUUGACUCAAGAACUUUUGUUUGUUGACUUGUCAGAUAAGAUAUUACAAGUAUCACAACCUUCAAGAUGAUGUAAUUGAGAUGAAGAUCCUUAUGAACAACAUAUUCUUCCUUGAAUAGAUGGUAAGAUAUAAUGCGUUAGGUAUCACGACAGUGGAAGAAACUUCCAAUGUUUAGUAAUUUUAUUAGAGGUAGGAACAACUCUUGACGGUAUUCCAUUUGAAGAAAAUUAUGAAGGCCUCAACAACGAUCAAAUAAUUGGGUAGUCUUUUUGUUCUAAUAUAGAAUACUAUCAAUGGUUGAAAGGCCCUAUUAACCAUCUUCAAAGAGAACAAAUAUCAAAGUAUGUAGCAAAUAUAAUUUGUCACAUCUUGAAUUUCUUCAACAUAUGAUGACCAUUCUUUAUGGAACCUGUCUCUUGAA
Molecule: long non-coding RNA, 21558 nt
Filed under: Physcomitrium patens
Lineage: Eukaryota; Viridiplantae; Streptophyta; Bryopsida; Funariales; Funariaceae
Description: long non-coding RNA (PPAT_LNC008388)
Source: RNAcentral